UAAUGUUUCUAUGCUUUACGUGAAGCACUUUGAACGCAAAGUUUGUCCCAGUCCGCCAUGUUUUGGGUUUUUCGGAGCUGGGGCGUCUCGAACCAGAAGCAGUCCACGUUCCAGCGGACCAGUCCGGCGUCACAACAGUUCAACACUUCACCUCACGUCAAAAUCAUUUCUUUAUUCAACUCCUCGAAGUUCAAGGAGACUCUGUCUUCUUCUUCUGUCUAGGACACUCUGUCGUCCUGGGUAACACGCUCACCUGGGGGCGGAGCUGACUCGAUGACGUUGGGAAGAAACAGCGCAGCGUCUCUGUGAAGAAUAACGACUAAAAGUGAGAAACAGCGCAACUUGUGUUUGUUUCGCGAAUUACCGGACUCACACACACACGAGUAUUGGAGUGUCAAAAUGACCAGACGAAAACCUGGAAAACGAUGGAGAAGGACUGAUAAUGAAGAAGAUCCACAUAAACGACCAAGAAGGACUGCACAAUUGUCAUCCCCCCCUGCAGCCACCAAUGUUCAUGUGGAGGAUGAUCAGCAAUAUUUAGGAGGUAGCAGCAGGGGAACACAGCGGGGGGUGCCUCCUGGAGGAGCCUAAAACGCUGCACUUCAAGGGGAAAACGUCCAACCUCCGAGUGUCCAUGCAUGAUGUACCACACUCACUCUGGAAAAUCAAGCUCUCACCACCUGCCAGGAAGCGUGGCACAACAGAGUAUUUCAACUGUUGACUCUAUCGAAGACAAUGAAGAACCAUCU
Non-coding RNA from Paralichthys olivaceus (Japanese flounder), 749 nucleotides. The record is from RefSeq and is a predicted model, not a curated record. NCBI's taxonomy places the organism in Eukaryota, Metazoa, Chordata, Actinopteri, Pleuronectiformes, Paralichthyidae.